RNAcentral lists this ribosomal RNA (525 nucleotides) under Haswellia sp. RW04.272.1193. RNAcentral describes it as "partial 16S ribosomal RNA". It matches the Rfam family "Bacterial large subunit ribosomal RNA", at positions 1796 to 2621 of the family's 2925-position model. Lineage: Eukaryota; Metazoa; Arthropoda; Malacostraca; Isopoda; Sphaeromatidae. The record is from RNAcentral.
UCGCCUGUUUUUCAAAAACAUCGCUGAUUAAAAAAAUCAGUAAUACCUGCCCAGUGAAUUUAAACGGCCGCAGUACCUUGACUGUGCUAAGGUAGCAUAAUCAUUUGUCUCUUAAUUGGAGACUCGUAUGAAUGAUUCGACGAAAAAUUUACUUUUUCAACUGCGCUAAAAACUUACUUCAAAGGUUAAAAAGCCUUUAGACCUAAGAGGACGACAAGACCCUGUAAAACUUUACCUUUAACGAGAUCUAAUCCUUAGAAAAUUACUUCUCUCCUUAGGGUUUAGCUGGGGCGGCUCAUUCAAUAACAACAUAAUUCAAUCUUACAUAUUUAAUGACCUUUUUAAACGCCUUCCAAUUAAGAACAAGUUACUUCAGGGAUAACAGCAUAAUACCUCUUCAGAGUCCUUAUCGUCAGAGGUGCGUAUGACCUCGAUGUUGAAUUGAAAACUCUCUACGGAGCAGCUCCUGUAGAAGAAAGUCUGUUCGACUUUAAAUUUUUCACAUGAUCUGAGUUCCAAACCGGA